AGCCUAUGAUUUGGGCAUUUAAGUAGGAGUUUCUUCAACCUCACCUAUGUUUCAUGGAUGGGUUCCCCCUCCUAUCGCUUGAAACCUUAAAUAUCAUCUCUAAGUUU
This is a non-coding RNA of Solanum tuberosum (potato), 107 nucleotides long. The record is from Rfam. NCBI's taxonomy places the organism in Eukaryota, Viridiplantae, Streptophyta, Magnoliopsida, Solanales, Solanaceae.